GACGAACGCUGGCGGCGUGCUUAACACAUGCAAGUCGAACGGUGAAGGGACCGGUUUUUGCUGGUUCUGGAUGAGUGGCUAACGGUUGAGUAACACGUGAGUAACCUGCCCCCUUCUUCUGGAUAACCGCAUGAAAGUGUGGCUAAUACGGGAUAUUCUGCGCCUGCUGCAUGGUGGGUGUGGGAAAGAUAUUGUUUCUGUGGGGGAUGGGCUCGCGGCCUAUCAGCUUGUUGGUGGGGUGAUGGCCUACCAAGGCGGUGACGGGUAGCCGGCCUGAGAGGGUGGACGGUCACAAUGGGACUGAGACACGGACCAGACUCCUAAGGGAGGCAGCAGUGGGGAAUAUUGCACAAUGGGCGCAAGCCUGAUGCAGCGACGCCGCGUGAGGGAUGGAGGCCUUCGGGUUGUAAACCUCUUUCGCCAGUGAAGCAGGCCUGUCCCUUUUGUGGAUGGGUUGACGGUAGCUGGAUAAGAAGCGCCGGCUAACUACGUG
This 493-nucleotide ribosomal RNA is filed under the name uncultured bacterium. RNAcentral's name for it is "partial 16S ribosomal RNA". It matches the Rfam family "Bacterial small subunit ribosomal RNA", at positions 28 to 507 of the family's 1533-position model. The record is from RNAcentral.